This 20-nucleotide transfer RNA is filed under the name Mangifera indica (mango). Its description in RNAcentral is "partial tRNA-Phe". Lineage: Eukaryota; Viridiplantae; Streptophyta; Magnoliopsida; Sapindales; Anacardiaceae. The record is from RNAcentral.
UCGUGUCACCAGUUCAAAUA